UCCUUCCAGUUAUAAGCAACAGUUCCCAGCCGCUGCAACCAUUGUACUCCCAAAACAACAUCUAGACCCAUUAUUGGCAGAGAAAAGAAAGUAGCCACAAAGGGUAUACCUUGAAGCGAGAAGGGAAUAUUGUUGAAUUUACUGCUGCAAAGUAAUGGAGUACCAUCGGCCACUUUGACAUUGAAAGGCUUGGUCGGCUUUCCUGGAAGUUUGAGUAUCUCAGCAAUUUUCGCAUUGACGAAAUUGUGAGUUGAGCCGUUGUCAAUCAGAGCAAUUAAUUCGAAGGAAUUGAUUUGGAUAG
This 301-nucleotide long non-coding RNA is filed under the name Manihot esculenta (cassava). RNAcentral's name for it is "long non-coding RNA (MESC_LNC010790)". The record is from RNAcentral. Lineage: Eukaryota; Viridiplantae; Streptophyta; Magnoliopsida; Malpighiales; Euphorbiaceae.